This 379-nucleotide ribosomal RNA is filed under the name uncultured eukaryote. RNAcentral describes it as "partial 18S ribosomal RNA". It matches the Rfam family "Eukaryotic small subunit ribosomal RNA", at positions 592 to 976 of the family's 1831-position model. The record is from RNAcentral.
CAAUAGCGUAUAUUUAAGUUGUUGCAGUUAAAAAGCUCGUAGUUGGAUUUUGGGUCGGGGGCACCGGUCCGCCGUUCCGGUGUGCACUGGUGGCCCCUUCCUUUCUGCCGGGGACGUGCGUCGCACUUAAUUGGGUGGCGUUCGGAGUCGGCGUUGUUACUUUGAAAAAAUUGGAGUGUUCAAAGCAAGCCAUCGCUCUGAAUACAUUAGCAUGGAAUAACAUGAUAGGACUCCGGUCUUAUUUUGUUGGUUUCCGAGACUGGAGUAAUGAUUAAGAGGGACAGUCGGGGGCAUCCGUAUUUCAUUGUCAGAGGUGAAAUUCUUGGAUUUAUGAAAGACGAACUUCUGCGAAAGCAUUUGCCAAGGAUGUUUUCAUUAA